GACGAACGCUGGCGGCGUGCUUAACACAUGCAAGUCGAACGGUGAAGCGCCUUCCUUUUUGGUGGGUGUGGAUGAGUGGCGAACGGGUGAGUAACACGUGAGUAACCUGCCCCCUUCUUCUGGAUAACCGCAUGAAAGUGUGGCUAAUACGGGAUAUUCUGGUUCUGUCGCAUGAUGGGUCUGGGAAAGUUAUUGUUUCGGUGGGGGAUGGGCUCGCGGCCUUUCAGCUUGUUGUUGGGGUGAUGGCCUACCAAGGCGGUGACGGGUAGCCGGCCUGGGAGGGUGGACGGUCACACUGGGACUGAGACACGGCCCAGACUCCUACGGGAGGCAGCAGUGGGGAAUAUUGCACAAUGGGCGCAAGCCUGAUGCAGCGACGCCGCGUGAGGGAUGGAGGCCUGCGGGUUGUGAACCUCUUUCGCCAGUGAAGCAGGCCUGCCUCGUUUGUGGGUGGGUUGACGGUAGCUGGAUAAGAAGCGCCGGCUAACUACGUG
Molecule: ribosomal RNA, 494 nt
Filed under: uncultured bacterium
Lineage: Bacteria
Description: partial 16S ribosomal RNA
Rfam family: Bacterial small subunit ribosomal RNA
Source: RNAcentral